GCUCUGUCCUCACCACACAGGGCUCUGUCCUCACCACACAGAGCUCUUCCCUCACCACACAGGCUCUGCCCUCACCACACAGCUCUGUCCACUCCACACAGUGCUCUGUCCUCACCACACAGGGCUCUGUCCUCACUACACAGGCUCUGCCCUCACCACACAGAGCUCUGCCCUCACCACACAGAGCUCUGCCCUCACCACACAGAGCUCUUCCCUCACCACACAGGGCUCUGUCCUCACCACACAGGUAUGUCCUCACCACACAGGGCUCUGUCCUCACCACACAGGGCUCUGCCCUCACCACACAGGGCUCUGUCCUCACCACACAGGGCUCUGUCCUCACUACACAGGCUCUGUCCUCACCACACAGGGCUCUGUCCUCACCACACAGAGCUCUGCCCUCACCACACAGAGCUCUGCCCUCACCACACAGAGCUCUUCCCUCACCACACAGGGCUCUGUCCUCACCACACAGAGCUCUUCCCUCACCACACAGGCUCUGCCCUCACCACACAGGGCUCUGCCCUCACCACACAGGUCUGUCCUCACCACACAGGUCUGUCCUCACCACACAGGGCUCUGUCCUCACCACACAGGUAUGUCCUCACCACACAGGGCUCUGUCUUCACCACACAGGGCUCUGCCCUCACCACACAGGGCUCUGUCCUCAUCACACAGGGCUCUGUCCUUACACACAGCACUCUCUUCGCACCUUAA
Molecule: long non-coding RNA, 717 nt
Filed under: Oryctolagus cuniculus (rabbit)
Lineage: Eukaryota; Metazoa; Chordata; Mammalia; Lagomorpha; Leporidae
Description: lncRNA (ENSOCUG00000032690.1)
Source: RNAcentral